This 482-nucleotide ribosomal RNA is filed under the name uncultured bacterium. RNAcentral describes it as "partial 16S ribosomal RNA". It matches the Rfam family "Bacterial small subunit ribosomal RNA", at positions 30 to 507 of the family's 1533-position model. The record is from RNAcentral.
AUUGAACGCUGGCGGCAUGCUCUACACAUGCAAGUCGAACGGUAACAGGCCGCAAGGUGCUGACGAGUGGCGAACGGGUGAGUAAUGCAUCGGAACGUGCCCAGCCGUGGGGGAUAACUACUCGAAAGAGUAGCUAAUACCGCAUACGAUCUAUGGAUGAAAGCGGGGGACCGUAAGGCCUCGCGCGAUUGGAGCGGCCGAUGUCAGAUUAGGUAGUUGGUGGGGUAAAGGCUCACCAAGCCAACGAUCUGUAGCUGGUCUGAGAGGACGACCAGCCACACUGGGACUGAGACACGGCCCAGACUCCUACGGGAGGCAGCAGUGGGGAAUUUUGGACAAUGGGCGCAAGCCUGAUCCAGCAAUGCCGCGUGCAGGAAGAAGGCCUUCGGGUUGUAAACUGCUUUUGUACGGAACGAAACGGCUCUGGUUAAUACCCGGGGCUAAUGACGGUACCGUAAGAAUAAGCACCGGCUAACUACGUG